AUGAACUUGGGGAAAAUAAUUAAAAAAAAUAUAUUAAAAAAGGAAAAAAGAAAAAGCGGGAGACGCGACACGCGUGGUCGGGUCCAUUCCGAGCGCAGAGAGAAAGGCUGUGAGGGGCGGGGGCUCCGGGCAGGUACCGAGGCGGGGCGCUGGGGGGCCGCCCCAGCCCGCUCCAGUGGCCGAGCACCGCGGGGAGGCGGCGGCGAGCGGCAGCCGGGAGAGAGGGCACGGAGAGGCACGGGAGCGACCGGGCGCACCGUACCGCAAAGAAAGACCCGGAGGGAAAGUGGAAGUGCUACUGGAGGAGAGGCGGCUGUGCCUCGACUGCGUUUAUUCGAGACUACUGCUCUACUGAGACCUUGUGCUGCCAAAGCUGGAAGAAUCGACAAAAUUCAUGCCUUCUGGCCAGCACUUAAAACUGGACAGGAUUCCCUUCGUGAUGGGAUUAAGCCAUUCAUUCUCACAUUGGAUGCAAGAUAAAUACUGUUACUGUCAGCAAAAUUACAGUGAAGUACACUGUUCCUGCUGUAAUUUGAUUUAGCUCCAGUGUAAAUGACAUUGUACCAGUUUCUAGAAGCAAAGGCAUGAUCUCAAAAGUCUGUUUACUGUAGUACUGUUUCUGUAGACUUUCAUUUUUUUCUCUAAUACGUAUAAUUGAAAGCUCUGUAGAAGUACACUAAAUUUGUGUAUUUUCUUGUCUGUAGACUCCAGAGCUUAUGUUUAGUUUAAAAGUGGAUUCAAUAAAGAUU
RNAcentral lists this long non-coding RNA (749 nucleotides) under Phasianus colchicus (ring-necked pheasant). Its description in RNAcentral is "lncRNA (ENSPCLG00000021185.1)". The record is from RNAcentral. Lineage: Eukaryota; Metazoa; Chordata; Aves; Galliformes; Phasianidae.